ACACUUAGCCUGUUCAAGUUGUCUCUUCAAUUAGAUGCUCGCAUAACAUUUGGUGCCGAAAGCCCGGGAUAGGGGAACUCCUCCGGCAGACCUCUCCUCUAUCCUCCCGGUACCCACGUUCUCCCAUGCAAGAGACUUCCCUCGCCCUCAGGACCUCAGACCAGCUCCGCGAGCACUCCGGCCUCUGUCUAUGGAUAUGGUGUUCAAUAAUAGGGAAGAGACUGCCCGGCGACAGCGCAUUUCAGAACUACAGAUGCUUGCCUCCGCCAUAAGACAAACCCCAGCUGCACUGCCUACCUGCAAGAACUUCAAGGCAUCUAAACGCAACAUCCAACAGCCCCUCUGGGACUUUGCUUCAAGCGAUGAAAACCUGGCCACUGGGCCAAGGAAUGCCUGCAGCCUGGGAUUCCUCCUAAGCCAUGCCCCGCCUGUGCGGGCCCUCACUGGAAGUCUGACUGCCCGACUCUCAUCGCCACUUCCGGAGCUCCUGGAGCUCAAACCCAAAGCUCCCCACCGACUCCUUCCCAGAUCUCCUCGGCUUGGCGGCUGAAGACUGACGCUGCCCGAACGUCUCGGAGGCCCCUUAGACAAUCGCGGAUGCCGAGCUUCGGGUAACUCUUAGGGUGGAGGGCUAGACAUAAAAUCUGCCAAGCUGCCAAUUUCCUGUUACCUACUCCAGAGACCCAGUGAUAUGAAGACACCCUAGCUGGACUGUCAGUUCUCGUUAAGAACCUAACCCCUCAAACUCUACAACCUCUGUGGACAGGAUCCUACCUGGUCAUCUAUAGUACCCCAACAGUGCAUAAAAAGACAGGAAUGUAAGGUCCUCUGAGCAGGCGGCGCCAUGGUCAAGCCAUCGUGACCCCUGUGACUCACACGUACACAUCCAGAAGGUCUCCUGGAGCCAGAAAGUCUGGGACGACAGGAAAACCACAAAAGAAGAAAAACGGCUAGUUCCUGUCUUAGCUGAUCAGCCAACCUUGUGACAUUCUAUCAUUGUAACAGGCUGUACCCUAACUGAUCAAUCAACCUCAUGACACUGUGCUCUGUAACCUUAUGAUAAUGUACCUUAUGACAUUCUUCCCCUGCCCUCAAUAAACAGCUCCGAACU
Molecule: long non-coding RNA, 1111 nt
Organism: Homo sapiens (human)
Lineage: Eukaryota; Metazoa; Chordata; Mammalia; Primates; Hominidae
Source: Ensembl